RNAcentral lists this ribosomal RNA (196 nucleotides) under uncultured bacterium. Its description in RNAcentral is "partial 16S ribosomal RNA". It matches the Rfam family "Bacterial small subunit ribosomal RNA", at positions 328 to 539 of the family's 1533-position model. The record is from RNAcentral.
ACGCUCGACACCUACGGGAGGCAGCAGUGGGGAAUAUUGCACAAUGGGGGAAACCCUGAUGCAGCGACGCCGCGUGAAGGAAGAAGUAUUUCGGUAUGUAAACUUCUAUCAGCAGGGAAGAAAAUGACGGUACCUGACUAAGAAGCCCCGGCUAACUACGUGCCACAGCCGCGUAAUCUGAGCGGGCUGGCAAGGC